Long non-coding RNA from Crotalus tigris (Tiger rattlesnake), 485 nucleotides. RefSeq lists it as uncharacterized. The record is from RefSeq and is a predicted model, not a curated record. NCBI's taxonomy places the organism in Eukaryota, Metazoa, Chordata, Lepidosauria, Squamata, Viperidae. The transcript is spliced from 3 exons.
UAACAGUUUACCUCCAUCUUCUCUAUUAACUUUGCUUGUCACACGCCAGUCGCAAAGCACACAAACGUGAUCACAUGAUCAUGUGACUGCGGGACACUGCAAUGCUUGCACUGCAAAUGGAUAGAAACUGAAGUCAAGAAUGGAUGCCCUUCAGCCAUCCAGACAGUGCCAUCUGAAGCCUUCUAAGUAGAAUCGCACAACCAAGCCUGAACAAGGGAAUUUCAGUCAGAACUUGGCCCCGUUGAAAGCAGUGGUUGGAAAGGCCCCCCGAGGCAACAUCAGUGCUGCAGCAAUUGAGGACAUGGCAGAAGAAAUGUAAUGUAAAAGAUGUGCUUUGAGAGAAAGAAAGUUGGAGGAUUUUUCACAAAAGACAACAUGCUUUAAAAUAUCCUCAGCAAAGACCUGGCAUAAAAGAUCAUACACUCGUGAUUCUGUUGCAUUUUGAUAACAUACAGAGCAGGAUGAAACAAACAGGAUACCUUAGA